AGUUUUAUAAUUUAAUAAAAAUAUUAAUUUUGUAAAUUAAAAAUACCUUCUUAUAGGUUAAAACUA
RNAcentral lists this transfer RNA (66 nucleotides) under Pheidole fervens. RNAcentral's name for it is "tRNA-Thr". Lineage: Eukaryota; Metazoa; Arthropoda; Insecta; Hymenoptera; Formicidae. The record is from RNAcentral.